Molecule: ribosomal RNA, 470 nt
Filed under: uncultured bacterium
Lineage: Bacteria
Description: SSU rRNA
Rfam family: Bacterial small subunit ribosomal RNA
Source: RNAcentral
AGAACGAACGCUGGCGGCAGGCCUAAUACAUGCAAGUCGAACGCACUCUUCGGAGUGAGUGGCAGACGGGUGAGUAACGCGUGGGAACCUUCCCAAUGGUACGGAAUAACUCCGGGAAACCGGUGCUAAUACCGUAUAAGCCCCUCGGGGGAAAGAUUUAUCGCCAUUGGAUGGGCCCGCGUCGGAUUAGCUAGUUGGUAAGGUAAUGGCUUACCAAGGCUACGAUCCGUAGCUGGUCUGAGAGGAUGAUCAGCCACACUGGGACUGAGACACGGUCCAGACUCCUACGGGAGGCAGCAGUGGGGAAUAUUGGACAAUGGGCGCAAGCCUGAUCCAGCCAUGCCGCGUGAGUGAAGAAGGCCUUCGGGUUGUAAAGCUCUUUUGUCCGGAAAGAAAGCUCUCGGCUAAUACCCGGGAGUUCUGACGGUACCGGAAGAAUAAGCACCGGCUAACUUCGUGCCAGCAGCCGC